This is a long non-coding RNA of Piliocolobus tephrosceles (Ugandan red Colobus), 1754 nucleotides long. RefSeq lists it as uncharacterized. The transcript is spliced from 6 exons. The record is from RefSeq and is a predicted model, not a curated record. Lineage: Eukaryota; Metazoa; Chordata; Mammalia; Primates; Cercopithecidae.
GGCGGCGGCGGCGGCGGGGACGACGGCACGCGGCGAGGGACACGCGCUUUCGGAACGCGAACGCUCUCCGCGCCGGAAUAGCGUUCUCGCGGCCAGGCCGCCGCAGCGCAGGCCCAGGGAGCCUCACCUACCCUCCUCUGGGCACCGCGACCCGGGAGACGCUUGGGCCCGGAAUUUGAAUGGCGGAUUCCCUGGUUUAACCCCAUUUAUAUUAUAGACAGGGACAGAAAUUCCCUGUUCAAAGUCACAUAGCUAGAGCUUGGCAGUGACUCAGAGCAGGGAUCUUCUCACCAGACUCUAAACUCUGGGAGAGCAGCAAUCUGCUUGCAUGGUUUUCAGUUGCGUCCCCACGUUAUUGGACAGAGCCCUCAGAAAAUGCUUGAUCGAAUAGGGCGACUGGCUCCCAGGAUCCGGCCCUUUCCACUCUCGAAAGCCCGUCACCCUAGUUGCUUUUGCCUGUGAUGCUUGUAAAAUACGAUUAUAAGAUUCGUCUUUAUGCUGUGUGAACAGACUCCUUUCUUUAUAACCAAGCUAAGUGACUUUUUUUUUUCUGUCUAUGUAGUUUAUUUUAUGGCGGGGUUUUCGGGUACUCUACUUAGGCUUACCCGGCGUAAUGCUAGACAUGGAGGUGGCACUGGAUAAUAAACUCUAAAUGAUUUUUCUAACAUUGCCUUAAUUUUCUCUUGACCCUCUCCAUCUGGAGGAAUUUGUUGCUACAUGCUUAAUGUUUGGUACACGAUGAGAAAUAUAUAUAUAUAUGCACACACACAUACGCGGGCGAAUAUGCGUCACAUCCCUAAUGCUUGGCACACAGUGGGAAAUAUAAAACAUAAAUUAAUGAGGAGGCACUAUCUGUGCAUAAUGUACCUUUUUUUAUCUUAAAUAUUACAUAAUGAACAUUUAAAGGGAAUGAAAUGUGCGUAAUACCAAUCUCCCUUUCGCCUAGGAGAAGUCACGCGGUCUCUUGCAGUAGUUAAGAGUUGCUGGCAAAUUUCCUGGGUUUGAAUCUCGGCUCCACAUAAUAGCUCUGUGAUCCCGAGAUGCCUUCCUCCUUUUCCUGCCAGGCCCACUCUGGUGGAGUGGAAAAGUCCAAUGCUUUGAUACCAGUGCUCUGGCUCCAGUCUGGGGACAUCAUGUGGCCAGCAGAUAAAACCAACACUCACAGAGGCCUCACUGCAAUACAUACUGUCUGAGAGGACAAUAUUUAACCAAAGAACCUCAAGAGGCUGAAACCCUGCACUCCAAACUCUGAAUCUUGACUCAAAAGGCAAACAUCAAAGUAACUCUGGCUAGGAGACCCUCCCCUUUGUUGGCUUUGAGGAAGCAAGCAGCUGUGUUGCAAAGGCCUGUGGAGUAAGGAACUGAGGGUGGUCUCCAGCCAACAACCAGAAAGAAACUGAGGCCCUCAGUCCGGCAACUCACAAGGAACUGAAGGCUGCCAACAACCAUGUAAUUUCCAGGAUGUAAGCCAUACAGCCAGAAGGCAGGGUGCAGAGGAGAGGAGGCAGAGAUGGCACACUCAUACAGAAGCUUCUCCUGAUUGUCCACUGAAUAGAAGGCAAGCUUGCCCUCCUCAAGGUUCAGCCAGAUGCCCACCACCCCAGGUCUCGGAGAAUAUCUCUGAUUUUCCCUGCAGCUGUGUCGGAAAUCAACAGCUUUGGAGAAGCCAUGGAAAGAUCCACCCCAGAAGAAAAAACUUAUUGAUGAAUCAUUUAAAACUGAAUAAAUGGAAGUCCCCUAUGCAGUCUAUCAAC